This 592-nucleotide ribosomal RNA is filed under the name Salmonella enterica. Its description in RNAcentral is "partial 23S ribosomal RNA". It matches the Rfam family "Bacterial large subunit ribosomal RNA", at positions 2253 to 2839 of the family's 2925-position model. RNAcentral also lists the same sequence under 1 other name. The record is from RNAcentral. Lineage: Bacteria; Pseudomonadati; Pseudomonadota; Gammaproteobacteria; Enterobacterales; Enterobacteriaceae.
AGUGUCUGGUGGGUAGUUUGACUGGGGCGGUCUCCUCCUAAAGCGUAACGGAGGAGCACGAAGGUUGGCUAAUCCUGGUCGGACAUCAGGAGGUUAGUGCAAUGGCAUAAGCCAGCUUGACUGCGAGCGUGACGGCGCGAGCAGGUGCGAAAGCAGGUCAUAGUGAUCCGGUGGUUCUGAAUGGAAGGGCCAUCGCUCAACGGAUAAAAGGUACUCCGGGGAUAACAGGCUGAUACCGCCCAAGAGUUCAUAUCGACGGCGGUGUUUGGCACCUCGAUGUCGGCUCAUCACAUCCUGGGGCUGAAGUAGGUCCCAAGGGUAUGGCUGUUCGCCAUUUAAAGUGGUACGCGAGCUGGGUUUAGAACGUCGUGAGACAGUUCGGUCCCUAUCUGCCGUGGGCGCUGGAGAACUGAGGGGGGCUGCUCCUAGUACGAGAGGACCGGAGUGGACGCAUCACUGGUGUUCGGGUUGUCAUGCCAAUGGCACUGCCCGGUAGCUAAAUGCGGAAGAGAUAAGUGCUGAAAGCAUCUAAGCACGAAACUUGCCCCGAGAUGAGUUCUCCCUGAGACUACAAGUCUCCUGAAGGAACGUU